This 520-nucleotide ribosomal RNA is filed under the name uncultured organism. RNAcentral's name for it is "bacterial SSU rRNA". It matches the Rfam family "Bacterial small subunit ribosomal RNA", at positions 900 to 1426 of the family's 1533-position model. The record is from RNAcentral.
CUCAAAGGGAUAGCCGGGGGAACAACACAACCAGUGGAUCGUCUAGAUUAAUGGGAUAAUAAGCCAAGGAAUCUUACCUAGAUUCGACAUGUACUAUGUCCUAUGUGGAAAGCAUAGUAGUCCGAGCAAUCGGACAUGGAAUACAGUUGGUGCAUGGUCUUCGUCAGCUCGUGCCGCAAGGUGUCUAGUUAAGUCUGGAAACGAGCGCAACCCUCAUCUUUUAGUUAGAAUGUCUAAAGAGACUGCUCCGGUAACGGAGAGGAAGGAGAGGAUGACGUCAGAUCCUCAUGCCCCUUACAUCUAGGGCUUCAUAGACAAUACAAUGGGUGAUACAACGAGAAGCUAAGCCGCGAGGUGGAGCAAACCUCUAAAAUCAUCCUAAGUUCGGAUUGUAGUCUGGAACUCGACUACAUGAAGUUGGAAUUGCUAGUAAUGGCGGGUCAGCUACACCGCCCGUGUAUAUGUCCCUGUUCCUUGCACUCACCGCCCGUCAAACCAUGGGAGCUGAGCGCCUCUGAAG